Molecule: long non-coding RNA, 265 nt
Organism: Molossus molossus (Pallas's mastiff bat)
Lineage: Eukaryota; Metazoa; Chordata; Mammalia; Chiroptera; Molossidae
Exons: 3
Source: RefSeq, a predicted model, not a curated record
ACAUCUAACAGGAUUGAAAUGGUUCUGCAGAAAAGAGCUGGUCAUGGAAUACGCCCAUAGGUCUCCUAGUGUGGCCUGAGGGUGGGCCCUGCAGCCCAUUUUAACAACCCUCUGGUUGAUUCUCACGGAUGCUCAAGCUUGAGAACCACUUAAAUGUUGACAGAGUUUGAGGUUCUCGAAGAAACAACCCUUUGUAUCCUUUACAAGGAAACAACUAGCCUGUGUUCUGGGUCCACAGUCUGCCCCAUAGGUUGCUCAAAGCUCA